ACCACUUGUUGCCUCGGCGGAUCAGCCCGCUCCCGGUAAAACGGGACGGCCCGCCAGAGGACCCCUAAACUCUGUUUCUAUAUGUAACUUCUGAGUAAAACCAUAAAUAAAUCAAAACUUUCAACAACGGAUCUCUUGGUUCUGGCAUCGAUGAAGAACGCAGCAAAAUGCGAUAAGUAAUGUGAAUUGCAGAAUUCAGUGAAUCAUCGAAUCUUUGAACGCACAUUGCGCCCGCCAGUAUUCUGGCGGGCAUGCCUGUUCGAGCGUCAUUUCAACCCUCAAGCACAGCUUGGUGUUGGGACUCGCGUUAAUUCGCGUUCCUCAAAUUGAUUGGCGGUCACGUCGAGCUUCCAUAGCGUAGUAGUAAAACCCUCGUUACUGGUAAUCGUCGCGGCCACGCCGUUAAACCCCAACUUCUGAAUGUUGACCUCGGAUCAGGUAGGAAUACCCGCUGAACUUAAGCAUAU
This 467-nucleotide unclassified non-coding RNA is filed under the name Fusarium oxysporum f. sp. phaseoli. RNAcentral describes it as "partial contains ITS1, 5.8S rRNA and ITS2". The stretch from base 116 to 269 matches the Rfam family "5.8S ribosomal RNA". The record is from RNAcentral. Lineage: Eukaryota; Fungi; Ascomycota; Sordariomycetes; Hypocreales; Nectriaceae.